RNAcentral lists this long non-coding RNA (1077 nucleotides) under Dicentrarchus labrax (European seabass). RNAcentral describes it as "lncRNA (ENSDLAG00005028578.1)". Lineage: Eukaryota; Metazoa; Chordata; Actinopteri; Moronidae. The record is from RNAcentral.
AUGUUCCUAUAUUUUAUUUGGACCAUUAGCUCCAUGCUACUAACUAGCUCGCCUUUUACAAAUCACCCAUCAGCCAACACCACGAAGCAACCGACGCCGGACCCACAAUGCAACGCCAAGACACAGCCAGCCGGACAACACAAGCUAAACAACAAUAUCACUAUACUCCACAAGCUUUGCAGUAAUGUUAGCUUUGUCUCUGGACUCUGUGUUGUGGACUCUGUGUUGGACUCUGUGUUGUGGACUCUGUGUUGGACUCUGUGUUGUGGACUCUGUGUUGGACUCUGUGUUGUGGACUCUGUGUUGGACCCUGUGUUGUGGACUCUGUGUUGUGGACUCUGUGUUGUGGACUCUGUGUGGCUUGUUGGACUCUCUGUUGUGGACUCUGUGUUGGACUCUGUGUUGGACUCUGUGUUGGACUCUGUGUUGUGGACUCUGUGUUGGACUCUGUGUUGUGGACUCUGUGUUGUGGACUCUGUGUUGGACUCUGUGUUGGACUCUGUGUUGUGGACUCUGUGUUGUGGACUCUGUGUUGGACUCUGUGUUGGACUCUGUGGUGGACUCUGUGUUGGACUCUGUGUUGUGGACUCUGUGUUGGACGUGGUGGACUCUGUGUUGUGGACUCUGUGUUGGACCCUGUGUUGUGGACUCUGUGUUGUGGACUCUGUGUUGUGGACUCUGUGUUGUGGACUCUGUGUUGGACCCUGUGUUGGACUCUGUGUUGGACUCUGUGUUGUGGACUCUGUGUUGGACUCUGUGUUGUGGACUCUGUGUUGGACUCUGGGUUGGACUCUGUGGUGGACUCUGUGUUGUGGACUCUGUGUUGUGGACUCUGUUGGACUCUGUGUUGUGGACUCUGUGGUGGACUCUGUGUUGUGGACUCUGUUGUGGACUCUGUGUUGGACUCUGUGUUGUGGACUCUGUGUUGGACUCUGUGUUGGACUCUGUGUUGUGGACUCUGUGUUGGACUCUGUGUUGGACUCUGUGUUGUGGACUCUGUGUUGUGGACUCUGUGUUGUGGACUCUGUGGUGGACUCUGUGUUGGACUCUGUUGUGGUGGGUGUCGGCCGUUUGUAG